Molecule: ribosomal RNA, 1372 nt
Filed under: Rathayibacter rathayi
Lineage: Bacteria; Bacillati; Actinomycetota; Actinomycetes; Micrococcales; Microbacteriaceae
Description: bacterial SSU rRNA
Rfam family: Bacterial small subunit ribosomal RNA
Source: RNAcentral
AUGAAGCCUAGCUUGCUGGGUGGAUUAGUGGCGAACGGGUGAGUAACACGUGAGUAACCUGCCCUUGACUCUGGGAUAAGCGCUGGAAACGGCGUCUAAUACCGGAUAUGACCUGCCCCGGCAUCGGGUGUGGGUGGAAAGUUUUUCGGUCAAGGAUGGACUCGCGGCCUAUCAGCUUGUUGGUGAGGUAAUGGCUCACCAAGGCGACGACGGGUAGCCGGCCUGAGAGGGUGACCGGCCACACUGGGACUGAGACACGGCCCAGACUCCUACGGGAGGCAGCAGUGGGGAAUAUUGCACAAUGGGCGAAAGCCUGAUGCAGCAACGCCGCGUGGGGGAUGACGGCCUUCGGGUUGUAAACCUCUUUUAGUAGGGAAGAAGGGCUUCGGCUUGACGGUACCUGCAGAAAAAGCACCGGCUAACUACGUGCCAGCAGCCGCGGUAAUACGUAGGGUGCAAGCGUUGUCCGGAAUUAUUGGGCGUAAAGAGCUCGUAGGCGGUUUGUCGCGUCUGCUGUGAAAACCCGAGGCUCAACCUCGGGCCUGCAGUGGGUACGGGCAGACUAGAGUGCGGUAGGGGAGAAUGGAAUUCCUGGUGUAGCGGUGGAAUGCGCAGAUAUCAGGAGGAACACCGAUGGCGAAGGCAGUUCUCUGGGCCGUUACUGACGCUGAGGAGCGAAAGCGUGGGGAGCGAACAGGAUUAGAUACCCUGGUAGUCCACGCCGUAAACGUUGGGAACUAGAUGUGGGGACCUUUCCACGGUCUCCGUGUCGCAGCUAACGCAUUAAGUUCCCCGCCUGGGGAGUACGGCCGCAAGGCUAAAACUCAAAGGAAUUGACGGGGGCCCGCACAAGCGGCGGAGCAUGCGGAUUAAUUCGAUGCAACGCGAAGAACCUUACCAAGGCUUGACAUAUACCGGAAACUUCCAGAAAUGGUUGCCCCGCAAGGUCGGUAUACAGGUGGUGCAUGGUUGUCGUCAGCUCGUGUCGUGAGAUGUUGGGUUAAGUCCCGCAACGAGCGCAACCCUCGUUCUAUGUUGCCAGCACGUUAUGGUGGGAACUCAUAGGAGACUGCCGGGGUCAACUCGGAGGAAGGUGGGGAUGACGUCAAAUCAUCAUGCCCCUUAUGUCUUGGGCUUCACGCAUGCUACAAUGGCCGGUACAAAGGGCUGCGAUACCGUAAGGUGGAGCGAAUCCCAAAAAGCCGGUCUCAGUUCGGAUUGAGGUCUGCAACUCGACCUCAUGAAGUCGGAGUCGCUAGUAAUCGCAGAUCAGCAACGCUGCGGUGAAUACGUUCCCGGGCCUUGUACACACCGCCCGUCAAGUCAUGAAAGUCGGUAACACCCGAAGCCAGUGGCCUAACCGUAAGGAGGG